Molecule: ribosomal RNA, 253 nt
Filed under: uncultured bacterium
Lineage: Bacteria
Description: partial 16S ribosomal RNA
Rfam family: Bacterial small subunit ribosomal RNA
Source: RNAcentral
UACGAAGGGGGCUAGCGUUGCUCGGAAUCACUGGGCGUAAAGCGCACGUAGGCGGCUUUUUAAGUCAGGGGUGAAAUCCUGGAGCUCAACUCCAGAACUGCCUUUGAUACUGGGAAGCUUGAGUCCGGAAGAGGUGAGUGGAACUCCGGGUGUAGAGGUGAAAUUCGUAGAUAUUCGGAAGAACACCAGUGGCGAAGGCGGCUCACUGGUCCGGUACUGACGCUGAGGUGCGAAAGCGUGGGGAGCAAACAGG